Non-coding RNA from Peromyscus maniculatus bairdii (prairie deer mouse), 4490 nucleotides. Lineage: Eukaryota; Metazoa; Chordata; Mammalia; Rodentia; Cricetidae. The record is from RefSeq and is a predicted model, not a curated record.
CCCUGCGGCCCUGAGCGUUACCACUACCACCCACUCGCAAGUCUGCCCAGGAAGGCUGCUGUCCCAGGGCCCAUCGGCAGCCCCUCCCAGUCACUCUUUUUUUUUUUCUCGGCCCACUCAGCCAUCGACUGUGUGUGGGAAGAGCCUUCGUGCAACUCAGGGCAGUCAGUGCCCACGACCAGACCCACCAUCCGGCUCGUGACUGCCGUACUUGUUCUCCUUGGGUCCUGUCACAGGACAGGGAAAGGCACACAGCCAACUCGCUGGCGCCCACUUAAAGCAGUAACUCUGCAAUCCCGGGGUCUAAAGGCAAGAGUCCCUGAGUUGUGCGCCUGAGUGCAAAUAUUAAGGGACCUGAUCCCGGUUGCCAGACUGAGGGAUCUCGGGUUCUGUACGGAAUCUUUUUCUCUGGGAGACACUGACCUUGAUCAGAAGCGCUUCCAGCCAUCGGCUGUCUUCACCCAGCUCUGGCCUGGGGACCGCCAGUCCUGCCCAAGGAACGGCAUGGCACCGAGCGCGGACGCGACCGACGGACAGGACGGAUUGAUAGCCGGGGACCGACCGGCCUGGCUGGCCCCGGGGAUGCGCGGCGCUGGAAAGAUGCUAGGGGAACACAGGCGGCGACCGGGACAAGUGUGGGGAACUGGUGUGGAGGGUUGCGGGUCUAGGGUGGGCGCGGGGGGUCCUUGCACUCGCAGAGGGCUCAGGCGCUGGGGAGGGUCUCCUGUCGCGUCGGACUCCGGGUAUGCUGCGCCAGGCUGCCGGGGCGCAGUAUUUAUCCGGGGCCUCUGCCCCGGCUCUUUGUUGCCGGAAGAGCCGCCUGCUCUUAGCCCGGCCCCCCCGGGCCCCGAGGCCACGUGGCUUUGUUUAUGGGCUCGCCUUGUUUUCCGAGGUGCUCGCGGCUCUCGCUCGGAUCGCGCGGUUGCACAACCUUGCGCCCGUGGAAACUUGAAGCCGCGUGGCCAGGCCAGAUGUCCCGCUGUCCCUCGGUCCCCUGGCACCUCUGCGCACCCCCCAACGGCCCGCUCCCUCCCCCCCACACACCGGGAGUAGCUGCCGCCACCGAGAUCCUGGCCCUGUACUCGGCACUAUGUUCUCCCCGCGGCUCCUGGACUAGCUAGGUGCAGCGAGGAAGCCGGCUCCGAGGGCUGGGAACCAUCAGACCCUAGGUGUCUGGGAACGUGGGGACGGAUCUUUGCAAGCAGAUCAGCCUAGGGGAGGCCAGAGUGUCAGGGGCAGGCAGGGUACGGGGCGCAGUCUCUGGACCUCUCUGACUGCCAGUACCAACUCCAGGCGCCAGGGUGUGCUAAGGGGAGGAGGGGACCGGGUGCGUCAGGAGUGGGGAGGGACAGCCCCCACCCCUUCCGCCUUAAAACUGUCAUUGAUGUGUGUACUGUCAAUCUCGACUCCCCCACCCCCCACUCCGGUGGCAAAAGAUGGGGAAAGAGGGGGAGACCCUGCGGCUUCUGGGCUCCAAGGCGUGGAAGGGAAGAGCUGAGACAGUCCUGGGCCCCACCCCGGGACUCGGAGCGAACAGCGCGCUGGCGACUGAGGCACCUGGUCCGAACGCUGCCAGUGCGGAGAGGCAGAAAGAGUCUCUGGCUACGCUCACUGUACCUGGUCUAGUGCCCCAGGGCUGCACUUUUAUCCUGUGGAAUCAUUGGAGCCCCCCUCUCUUGCCCUUUCUGCAGUUCAGUUCAUGCAGUUCAGGUUGUCCUCUGGCCUUUAGCUAUAAAGUCCUCUCCUGGGUUUCCAGUGGGGACCUGCCUGGUGUCAUCAUGGUUUUCAGGUGAAAGGCCAAUGGGUCCUCAGAGGGGGUUAAGACUACCCAGGGUCUUAUGGCUACUUUCUUCUCAACUAAUCGUCCCUUUCUGCAGAAUAUAAACUCCCUUUUAUUCUAGAGACAUCUCAGCCCAAUGCCUUGUUAUCAGGCCCAGAAUUGGCCACUCAUAAACAUCCUCUCUAUCUUGCCCCCCCCCCCCGCCCCCUUCCAUCCCCCUCUCCCAUGUAUGUCAGGUGUCUUCUUCUGUCAAUUUUGGUCUUAUUUAAUUUAUUUUUGAGACAAGACUCGCUGAACCUGGAGCUCAUUUAUUGUCUAGACUGGCAGGCCAAUGGACCUCUGGGUUCUCCUGGGUUUUCUCCCAGUACUGGGAUAAAGGCAUAGUGCAUUAUUUUUUUGUUUUUGUUUUUGUUUUUUUUUUUUAAACAUGAGUGCUGGCGAUCUGAACCCAGGUCCUCAUGCCUGCUCAUCACGACCUUAUUCACUGAGACAUCCCACUACCGAAUCAUCUCAGCAGCCUCUCCAUAGCCAGUUCUUGUGUGAACAAGGGAUUACUGCAUCAGGGUGAGGUGGCUUCCCAUUUCAUUCACUGGCCUCCCACCACUACCAGUCAGACCCGUCAAGUCACAUUCAUCGGUGCCUACGUGGCACCAGGCAGUAGCAGCAAAGAAAAAAAAAUCCCAUUAAUUAAUUAAAUUAAUUAGAGAAUUAGCUUCCUGCUCUCUUCUUCCACACCCUGGCCUCUGUAGCCAUGGGCAGUGUCUCUUGCUCUGUGCAUUGAGGCUGGGUAAGCAGAGGAACUGAGUGUGCCUGGGGGGGUCUCUCUUGCAAGGGGGAAGGAGAUGUUUUUAAUAAAGUCUGUCUUCAAGUAGCCAGGAUUUUCUGAUUUUGGUUUCCCACCAUAAAUAAUUUAUUAGUGCAGCAGUAGUAAAAAUGGCUUGUAAAAGCAGAGCAGAAGGUCCCAAAUAAUGUUAAACUCCCAUCAGGCUAAGAGAAGAGGCAACGCUGGGCCGGGGCUUUGUUGAAGAAGAACUAAUUUGGGCCCUGAAACACAAGGGAUGUGAUUAUCAACGAUGCCGGGGGCUACUUCCAGGAAGAAACCACAGAGGUCUGGAAGGCAGAGGCUGUGAAUUCUAAUUUUGCUAAAGCAGCCUACACUUCGUCCGGUGAACAACAGAAGGCUCCACAGACUCAAGACAAUGGUGCAGGGGAUGCCUGCCUUUCAGACUGUUGAGAGAGUAUAGUAGUUGGGGUUUUUAAGCGCCAUUUCUUUCCUCUCUGUUAUAAUAGUGGUAUGGAUCCACGCUCUUGACCUGGCCGCUUGCAGGAGAGUGGAGGAAGCCUUGGGUGAACAUGUAAAGAACAGUUGAAACCCUGAGUGUGUAUUAUUAACAUGCUUACCGUUAUGUCAAGGGCUCCAGUGCAUUAGACCAAUGAGAGUGGCCAAACCUUCUCCAAGUUAGGUUCAGGAAAUUGGCAAAAGUCUUCCUGUGUGUUGUGCAACAGUUUCCUCCAAGAUGGAAACAUUCCAUACUGUGGGGAAGCUCUUUAAGCAGAGAGGUAAACUACUCAAAAUAGGUUCAGGAAGUCCCUGAAACCGACAAGAUUCACUAGGCCCCCUCGGGCCAGAGUAAGCAAUAAAGACUGCCAAGGGUCACUCUCAGAGAAGCCAAGGUGAAUAGGAGACUGUCAGCCAAGCCAAGCUGUAAAAAUGAGACCAGACAGGAUGCCUGGAAGCAGCAGAGACCACCUAGCAGCCUGGAAGAGGUUUAGACCAGAGUCACUUGGAAAGGACACUCUCCAACCUGCUGAGCUGCCUGAAGGCUGUGAGGUGUGUUCCAAGUUCCCAUUGUUGUGCCUUGUCACCCAUGCUGUGGUGGGUCUUGGUGAUGCAGCUGUCUCUGAGUCAUUUCUGCUCCUGUAACUAACCUCUCACCCAUAUUCCUGCAAGUAACCCCAAUAACACUCGUUGGUUUACCAAGCUCGAUUUGGGUGGUAUCCAUACUUUGAUCUGUCCUGGGCUCCCACUCUAUGGUGACUAGACGUGUCUGUAGUGUCUCCCCAACAAAAGUUUUGUCACAUAACACAAUGACCCAAGUACAAGUGUUUAUGAACGACUGACCGGUGUGUAUAAAAACUAUCAACCACAGCAUUCUCCUCUGGGAUCACCGCAGCCUGAGACUGCUUCCCUACAGAGACCUUCUAUUGAGACUAGGUAAGCCUGCCCCUGAGGUGUAUACCAUCAACCCGCCUCCUCCAUUCAGAUGUGUAAAAUAAAGGCUGUGUUUCUGGGCUGCUUCUGUGGUUGCUGCAUCUCCACCAGCGUGCAUGGCCUGGCCCACCCAAGCCCAGAUUUUCUCUACCUUUCUGUACCUGUGUAUCUUUUUUCCAUUCUCUUGCUGCCCCAGUCAGUUUUCCAGAACUAAAGCCAUGCAGGACACAGCAGCAUCUGGAUGGGCAAUCUGUACCUUUGAGUUACUGGCCAUGUGACUUGCUUGGGCCAAUGGAAUAAAUGCUAGGAACAUGUGAUGAGGACAGAGGUUAUUUACCUACAGAAUUGAGAUCUCUUGUUUCUACCCUUCCGUAUCCUGGAUAGUCACUACUCUUUGAACUGCUAGAGUGGCACCAUGUAUCCUGGGAUGUGACACAUGAAACAGGUCUCCCUGGUAUCCUACAUAUGUUAGCAAGAAAUAAAGGUUUCCUGUAGAAA